Molecule: ribosomal RNA, 274 nt
Filed under: uncultured bacterium
Lineage: Bacteria
Description: partial 16S ribosomal RNA
Rfam family: Bacterial small subunit ribosomal RNA
Source: RNAcentral
AUACGAAAGGGGCAAGCGUUGUUCGGAUUUACUGGGCGUAAAGCGCUCGUAGGCGGCUUGUUAAGUCGGAUGUGAAAGCCCCGGGCUCAACCUGGGAACUGCAUUCGAUACUGGCAGGCUAGAGUAUAGUAGAGGCAAGUGGAAUUCCGGGUGUAGCGGUGAAAUGCGUAGAUAUCCGGAGGAACAUCAGUGGCGAAGGCGACUUGCUGGACUAAUACUGACGCUGAGGAGCGAAAGCGUGGGGAGCAAACGGGAUUAGAAACCCCAGUAGUCC